CCUACGGGAGGCAGCAGUAGGGAAUUUUGCGCAAUGGGCGCAAGCCUGACGCAGCAACGCCGCGUGAACGAGACGCCCUUCGGGGUGUAAAGUUCUGUCAGUGGGGACGAAAAAUGCCGGUACCCACAGAGGAAGCACCGGCUAACUCCGUGCAAGCAGCCGCGGUAAUACGGAGGGUGCAAGCGUUGUCCGGAAUCAUUGGGCGUAAAGAGUUCGUAGGCGGCAUGUAAAGUCAGGUGUUAAAUGCGCAGGCUCAACUUGGGUAUGGCACUUGAUACUUGCAAGCUGGAGUGCGGUAGAGGUAAAGGGAAUGCCUGGUGUAGCGGUGAAAUGCUUAGAGAUCAGGAGGAACAUCGGUGGCGAAGGCACGUUACUAGGCCGUAAUUGACGCUGAGGAACGAAAGCCAGGGGAGCAAAUGGGAUUAGAUACCCUUGUAGUC
RNAcentral lists this ribosomal RNA (440 nucleotides) under uncultured bacterium. RNAcentral's name for it is "partial 16S ribosomal RNA". It matches the Rfam family "Bacterial small subunit ribosomal RNA", at positions 338 to 795 of the family's 1533-position model. The record is from RNAcentral.